This 132-nucleotide small RNA is filed under the name Klebsiella quasipneumoniae subsp. similipneumoniae. RNAcentral's name for it is "RtT sRNA". It matches the Rfam family "RtT RNA". From Rfam's summary of the family: This family represents a bacterial cis-regulatory element known as RtT RNA. The exact function of RtT is unknown although it is thought that it may be involved in changing the cellular response in relation to amino acid starvation. RNAcentral also lists the same sequence under 1 other name. Lineage: Bacteria; Pseudomonadati; Pseudomonadota; Gammaproteobacteria; Enterobacterales; Enterobacteriaceae. The record is from RNAcentral.
UAUUCUGCCCUACGGGGAAGGAUGAGAAGCUUCGACUAAGGUUCGACUCGAGCGUAGCGAGAGAACGUUGCCGCAGGCAACGGCCCGAAGGGCGAGGCGCUUUAGCGCCGAGUUAUCCUUCCCCCACCGCUG